ACACACACACACACACACACACUACCAAUCACAAAAGGACUGGAUGAACCCUAGGAUCUUGAUAGUAUUUUGCGCUCCUAUUGUCAUCAGGGUUGGGAACAGGGUUGAAGAUACCCAAUUCAACAGGUUUUAUGGUACAAGCAGAAAGCCAAGUGCCCAACUUUUGAUUUUAAGAUGGCGAGGGUAGGUCAGAACUAAACUUGAAUGCGGAUGAGCUGGCUUGAAGAUAUUACUUUAGCAGCAAGAGAAAGGACUGCAUUACAGUUAGAUGCACUUAUUUAAUCCAAAAGGGAAAAUAAUCCAAGCGCAAUUCACACAGUAAGGAAAUUCUUCUACUGAUAAUGUAAUGCCUGAACCCAGAACCCUGAAAUCCCCUCCCCUCCUCCAGCUCAGGGUUCAUUCCUUGCAAAUUACGUGCAACCCACCGCAACCCCAAGAGUUCAGGCAAUCAAAAUUAAAACUUUAUGACUCAAAUCAAUCUACAAUUCACUGAACCACAGAUAUGAAAAGGACAAUCCAGGCAAUGGAAUGCAUAAACACACAGCAUCAGAGACAAUAUGAAGUAAACCCGAUGAUAAAAUUACUCAUUUUCAGAAAUAAUUUAAAAUUACUACAUCCAAGCGAGCCUCUUAAAAGGAAAGAGAAAUGAAUACAGCACCUUCUUUCUGAUGGGAACAUGGCGUGCAAUCUUGUCUUCACGUCUAGUUCUGACUUUGGCUUCGAUCCUCACAAACCUUGGCUCUGAAGUUAAAUUUGGCCUCGCUGCCGCUGAUGCCGAAAGGUGUUGCCCGCUCCCUAGGAAAGAGCUCCCGAGCGAAGCUGAGCUUGCCAUUCUC
RNAcentral lists this unclassified non-coding RNA (836 nucleotides) under Hevea brasiliensis (rubber tree). The record is from RNAcentral. Lineage: Eukaryota; Viridiplantae; Streptophyta; Magnoliopsida; Malpighiales; Euphorbiaceae.